AAAAAAACGUAUAUCCGUAUCAGACAUGUAUAUAUGUUACAUAGCUUUUUAGGCAGUUAAAAAUAUAAAAUUCAAUUUACUUUAAAGAAAUGGGUCACGAAGAAAAUGUGAGGAAUUAGUGGCGCGAUAAGUGGCGCGGCACCGUCAUUGGUGUCGGCGUAAGAAUCCAAAGCAAAAGUUGUGGCAAGCUACUCUUGUGAUGAUGGACCACUGCAAAAUCACAAACAAAUUAAAUAAUAUAUUGUCAAAAUAACUUAUACGUAUAGUUCACUACACUAUUGUCAACUACUGAGAAGUAAGAAGAAAGUUUUACAUAAAUAUACCACAAGAUAUUACGUACCAUCAAACUUUAUCUACUCUUCUUUUUGCAUAUUUAUAUACAAUUGGGUUUGCUUCAAACCAUGAUGCCCGUGACUCUGAAUAGACAUGUGUUAGGAAAUUAAGCAUAUUCGUGGAAUCAUAUUCAUAUUCUCUACACACAAUAUAGGUGUCAUGCACUUUUAUCACCAAAACAUUACCUUAUU
Molecule: long non-coding RNA, 524 nt
Filed under: Phaseolus vulgaris (common bean)
Lineage: Eukaryota; Viridiplantae; Streptophyta; Magnoliopsida; Fabales; Fabaceae
Description: long non-coding RNA (PVUL_LNC004739)
Source: RNAcentral